This 520-nucleotide ribosomal RNA is filed under the name uncultured Glomus. Its description in RNAcentral is "SSU rRNA". It matches the Rfam family "Eukaryotic small subunit ribosomal RNA", at positions 570 to 1092 of the family's 1831-position model. Lineage: Eukaryota; Fungi; Glomeromycota; Glomeromycetes; Glomerales; Glomeraceae. The record is from RNAcentral.
GCAGCCGCGGUAAUUCCAGCUCCAAUAGCGUAUAUUAAAGUUGUUGCAGUUAAAAGACUCGUAGUUGAAUUUCGGGGUCAGUAAGUUGGUCGUGCCACUGGUAUGCACUGGCUUUACUGACUCCUCCUUCUUGAAGAACUGUGAUGCCAUUAAUUUGGUGUUGCAGGGAAACAGGACUGUUACUUUGAAAAAUUAGAGUGUUUAAAGCAGGCUAACGCUUGAAUACAUUAGCAUGGAAUAAUGAAAUAGGACGUUUGACCCUAUUUUGUUGGUUUCUAGGAUUGACGUAAUGAUUAAUAGGGAUAGUUGGGGGCAUUAGUAUUCAAUUGUCAGAGGUGAAAUUCUUGGAUUUAUUGAAGACUAACUACUGCGAAAGCAUUUGCCAAGGAUGUUUUCAUUAAUCAAGAACGAAAGUUAGGGGAUCGAAGACGAUCAGAUACCGUCGUAGUCUUAACCAUAAACUAUGCCGACUAGGGAUCGGAUGAUGUUAAUUUUUUAAUGACUCAUUCGGCGCCUUACG